Fukomys damarensis (Damara mole-rat) is the source of this 520-nucleotide long non-coding RNA. RefSeq lists it as uncharacterized. The transcript is spliced from 3 exons. The record is from RefSeq and is a predicted model, not a curated record. NCBI's taxonomy places the organism in Eukaryota, Metazoa, Chordata, Mammalia, Rodentia, Bathyergidae.
CAUCCCGGUUGUCCAGUGCACUGAGGCCAGGUCUAAAAUGCCCAGAGUGCAGUUUAGAGGUGGAGGCGCAUGGGCGUUUCCUAGGCAACCCAGGGCGGCGGCGGGAGGGCGGGCCCUGGAGGAGGAGGAAGGCUCCCACAUGCACCUGCUCUGCAUUUCUGUGGCCCGCUGGAUCCCUGGAUGGCUGUUCUUGAGGAGGGCGCGCAGAGGCACAAUACCAGGAGCAGGCAGCUGAGGAGCCCUAGAGCUGAAGGGAGGCUCCUGACUUGAAAGGCAGACUUGGCCUCGGCACCAUCUUCCUAGAAACCAGUUGCAGAAGAAGCCAAGAUGCAUGCAGGCUACAGGUGAAAGGGAAGUGCGCAGUCCGGUCAGCGUGACUUUAGCCUGCUUCAGACGCGCCUCCGGCCACUGCGUUGCUGUGUUUUCAUCUGGCACUGACUUCUGGGACCCAGUUGCCUGGCUCCCUGAAUACCUCUAACUUAGCUGUCUAUCACCUGCAUCCUGCACUCGGGAGGCUGAA